RNA transcript from Panicum hallii, 1621 nucleotides. It is a transcript of the gene named probable protein arginine N-methyltransferase 6.2, with no coding region annotated. NCBI's taxonomy places the organism in Eukaryota, Viridiplantae, Streptophyta, Magnoliopsida, Poales, Poaceae. The transcript is spliced from 13 exons. The record is from RefSeq and is a predicted model, not a curated record.
GACGCGACAACUUUCCCCCUCAUGUUUACCGGCGGUGCUGACGGCAACGGCCACCUGCCACGGCCGCGCAGGCCGCGGCGGGGAGGCCUCGGCGGCGGGGGCAUCGGGUCUCCACCUGGACAGGGGUCAUCGACGGUGCAGCCGUACCCCGCCGCCCCGCCGUGUACCGACUAUGACAUGGCCUACUUCAAGGCCUACUCCCACAUCGGCGUCCACGAGGAAAUGCUCAAGGAUCAUGUGAGAACUAGUACUUAUAGAAAUGCUAUCAUGCAUCAUCAAGAUCUAAUUUCAGGCAAGGUCGUUUUGGAUGUGGGCUGCGGCACUGGUGUUCUUUCCAUAUUUUGUGCUUUUGCUGGUGCCACUCGGGUUUACGCCGUCGAUGCUAGUGAUAUUGCAAUACAGGCUAUGGAGAUUGUGAGAGAGAAUGAGCUAUCUGAUAAAGUUGUGGUUUUGCACGGACGAAUUGAGGAUGUAAAUAUUGAAGAAAAAGUUGAUGUAAUCGUAUCUGAAUGGAUGGGAUACAUGCUUCUAUAUGAGAGUAUGCUGGGAAGUGUAAUUUUUGCUAGGGAUAAAUGGCUUAAGCCAGGAGGUCUUAUUCUUCCAUCACAUGCAUCGCUUUACAUGGCACCUAUAACAAAUUCUCAGCGAUAUCAUGAUAGCGUUUACUUCUGGCGGGAUGUAUAUGGUAUAAAAAUGUCCUCUAUGAUGCCUCUUGCAAAACAAUGUGCAUUCAUGGAGCCAUCCGUUGAGACAAUUAGUGGAGAGAAUGUAUUGACGUGGCCAACUGUGGUGUCACAGGUGGACUGUUAUACCAUACAAGCUCAGGAGCUUGAAACCAUUACCGCCACAUUUAAAUUUACAUCAAUGUUGCAAGCUCCGUUACAUGGUUUUGCAUUUUGGUUCGAUGUUGAGUUCAACGGACCAGUUCGCCAGAAAUCCAAGAAGCUAGCAAGCCAAUCAUUGGAUGGGAACACCCAAAAUGCUAGUCCAAGCAGUAAAAAGAAAAAACCAGAUGUAUCAAUUGUUCUCUCAACUGCACCAGAAGAUACCCCUACCCACUGGCAGCAGGACCGCAAUGGGAACAACCAUAAUAUUGACUGGUACUCCUUUUGCAGACCCUAUUGUACUUAUUUGAACCUAUAGAACUAAAAAAAGACCAGAACAUUGAAGGUUCUGUUACCAUAUCUCAGAGCCUGCAACAUGCUCGCUUCCUUAACAUCUGUCUGAAAUAUUUUACUGGUGAUCAGUGGUACGUCAAAGAAUCCGUGAUGCGAUAACACGGGGAAAACUCCAACAUCGAAAUGUUCUUUCUAAAUAGAUUCCAAUCUAUUGCUGCGCAUCAUAAACCUCGCUGCCGGUCAUUGCAAUUUUGGAGCACUCUGGCUUGCAGCAGGGCGUCGUGAUCGCAAGUUGAUCAGAACGGAGUGGCAUUUGCUGUUAGGAUUUUGUAGGAAACCUCUUUGAUUGAUAUUAAAAUCCCUGUCUCCAAACUCUAGUGUUCCUUUUUUACCAAAUUGAUGUCGAACGGGACAUAGGAAAAACUACAUGUUGACCAGAGUAGUACAGGUACCCCUCCUGUUGUUUUGACAUUUUAGUUCAUAUAUCAUUUGAUUCCCUGGCA